This is a long non-coding RNA of Erinaceus europaeus (western European hedgehog), 1127 nucleotides long. RefSeq lists it as uncharacterized. The transcript is spliced from 6 exons. The record is from RefSeq and is a predicted model, not a curated record. NCBI's taxonomy places the organism in Eukaryota, Metazoa, Chordata, Mammalia, Eulipotyphla, Erinaceidae.
ACACCCUCUGAGUCACUGUGAUGACUGGCUGAGAUAACCUGGCGAGAGUCUGGUGGGGGGAGGACUGCGUGACGGUCACCACCCUCGGACACUGUGCCACGGUGAUCAUCGGGCUCUCAUUGGUGCCAGCCCAGAAGUGAUAAGACACCCCAAGAAGAGCUACAGUAAGCUGAGGAGCCAGGACAGACCUGACAGACUAGAUGUGGUGACCCAAGGAACAAGUGCAACCAGAGGCGGCGGCUGAGCAGGCUGGUGCUUAAGAAGAAGGUUCUGAAGGAGAGAGUGUCGCUCACCUGCUUGGCUCCUCUGGCUGUGAUCCCGUUAGCUCAGGACCAGGGCAAAGAGAGCGCUUCAAACACACUGCUCCAGCCUUGAAAUGGAUGUCGCCCUUCUCCCCACACCCACUGUCAUCUCCUAGAAACCAAGGUCUGAGUGUGACAGCACAGCAGCCUCAGCCAUGCACAUUUCCAUGUGUGAAUACGCACAUCUGUUUCCACUCUGCUCCCGGGGGCGGUGCUGGCUGAGGGCUGCCGUCUGAGCAGGAGCACCUUUGUCUGAUGCAUGGGAACUCCAUUCACCUGUCCAGCUCUGUUUGCAUGCACUCAUGCCCCCAGGCUUUCUCCCAGGACUCCUGAGCAGACCCUGACAGAGAUGCAUGUAGGGCCAGUGUACUUUAGAUCUCCAGUGUGGCACAGGCGACCAUGAGUGCACAGAUGACACCUGUGUCAAGUUGAAGAGGAGCCCUCUCCUGCCCCAGGAGCAGCCACCAGGUUCCAGAUGCUAGCAUGAUGCCGACCAGAUUUCCCUGGACAGACGACCACACCAAUAUGUCCUGGAGCUCUGCUUCCCCAGAGCCCCACCCUACUAGGGAAAAAGAGAGGCAGGCUGGGAGUAUGGAUCGACCAGUCAACGCCCAUGUUCAGUAGGGAAGCAAUUACAGAAGCCAGACCUUCCUCAUUCUGCAUCCCACAAUGACCUUGGGUCCAUACUCCUAGAGGGAUAAAGAAUAGGAAAGCUAUCAGGGGAAGGGAUGGGAUACGGAGAGCUGGUGGUAGGAAUUGUGUAGAGUUGCACCCCUCUUAUCCUAUAGUUUUCUCAAUGUUUUCUGUUUAUAAAUUUAAAAAUGA